GUGGCGCACGGGUGCGUAACGCGUGGGAAUCUGCCCUUAGGUACGGAAUAACUCAGAGAAAUUUGUGCUAAUACCGUAUGAUGUCGAAAGACCAAAGAUUUAUCGCCUAAGGAUGAGCCCGCGUAAGAUUAGCUUGUUGGUGAGGUAAAAGCUCACCAAGGCGACGAUCUUUAGCUGGUCUGAGAGGAUGAUCAGCCACACUGGGACUGAGACACGGCCCAGACUCCUACGGGAGGCAGCAGUGGGGAAUAUUGGACAAUGGGCGAAAGCCUGAUCCAGCAAUGCCGCGUGAGUGAUGAAGGCCUUAGGGUUGUAAAGCUCUUUUACCAGGGAUGAUAAUGACAGUACCUGGAGAAUAAGCUCCGGCUAACUCCGUGCCAGCAGCCGCGGUAAUACGGAGGGAGCUAGCGUUGUUCGGAAUUACUGGGCGUAAAGCGUACGUAGGCGGUUAUUCAAGUCAGAGGUGAAAGCCUGGAGCUCAACUCCAGAACUGCCUUUGAAACUAGAUAGCUAGAAUCUUGGAGAGGUGAGUGGAAUUCCGAGUGUAGAGGUGAAAUUCGUAGAUAUUCGGAAGAACACCAGUGGCGAAGGCGACUCACUGGACAAGUAUUGACGCUGAGGUACGAAAGCGU
Molecule: ribosomal RNA, 632 nt
Filed under: alpha proteobacterium Air85
Lineage: Bacteria; Pseudomonadati; Pseudomonadota; Alphaproteobacteria
Description: bacterial SSU rRNA
Rfam family: Bacterial small subunit ribosomal RNA
Source: RNAcentral